UGUCUCCCCAUGAAUUUAAGAAAAUAUUUGCUGGCCUCAUAGAUGCGGACUGCCUGUUAAACAGACAGAGGUGUCCCCUCUUCACCUUAGCACCACAAACAGGAGAACACUGUUGGAAAAGAUGGGAAGAGCAAAAAAAUCUCCUUUGGAGAAUGAUCUAAAAUUCAUUUGGUAAGUCUUCAUAUUUAGAAAAGCAACCAGAAUAUAUUUCAAAUUGCAAAACAGUAAUAAUCAUUAUAGCCUGGCAGUGAAUAGGAUUCUGCCCAGGAAGGGCUAUGAUCUCCCAACCCAUGGCUGCCUCAUGUUUUAACAAAAGUGGUAAAGAUUACCCCACGUCCCACUCUCUCCAUUCCUUCAGCCUUAAGAAAUUCAUCAAGAGAGGAGGAGUUUAAAGAGGAGCUGCUUCUGGCAGAGCAAUCACUACUUUUCUCUUCACAAACACCGUGGCUCUUCUGAGGGAACCCUACAGAUAGGCAUCUCGUCAACACUUCUGGAUUUUUGAUCUGAAACUGGCUUGAAAUUUGGUGCUGUGCGCUUUUUCCUUUAUUCAGGAAAAAAAACAAAAAACAAAGUUGGGAGGUGGUUAAACACCCUUAUCCCCCAAAAACCUAUACAGAGAUUACAGGGGUUUUCUUCCAGGGAUCAGAGAGAAAGAACUAAGGUGGGGAUAAUGUGGCAGCUAGUCUGUCCUGAGGAAAUUAAGAGUCCAGUUCCUGGUGAAAGAUGAGGGGAAAGAAAACUGCCAAGUCCAGUAAUCUCAUUUCCAGCAUGAAGAAUGGGGGUCUGAAAAAAAUUCAGUUGUGGAAGCCAAGGUUAGCCAGUUGAAAAUCCGUGCCACCCAACCCUGGAGUGGAGGGGAUGCUGUGGAGAGGAUGGCGUGGUCCUCAACUGUCCAAGGCACAAAUGCCCAUUUAUGAGGACAGAGAAGAAGAGGAGGCUCUUCUUCAGGAAGAAGAUGGAGAGCGUACCUCGCUUCUUUUACACUCCUUUUUUGAUGACCAAGUAGAAGAAAAUUCAACAUUGCUGGGGCAAGGGCUGACAUCUUGGGAUCACAGAGAAGCAGAAUCUUGUUCCAGGUCUUCUGAGGCUUUGUGCUUAAUGGGUGAACUCUGACUCUGUACAUUCAAGUUUUUCCAGGGUUAUACUUGUAGUUAGCAUAUGCAAAGUCUUUCCAACUACAGGUGAGAAACUGUGGUCAGUAAUAGUGAGCCCUCACUGAUUUCCUCCAAAGGUGGAUUCUGAGGUAAAACAUCAGAACGACCAAGGUGAACACCUGGCUCCACUUGCACCUUUGUUAUCACUUGUGACUUGUGUUCCUCAGAGACCAAUGGCUGGUAAGUAAUGCAGGAGUUGCCACUGGAGCCCGUAUGCGGAGAGAAAGAUAAGCCAGACCGAAACUUUUUGGAAGGAGAAGGCUUCAAGGGGAUCUUCUUAAAUACUGCGUCGCACAUGAAGUGCUGGAACCGUUCAGCGUAGAAGCCUGGGCGAUGCACUGAGACAGCGUCCCCGUCAUGUACCACGGCUUUCCAAGAGUGCUCCAACUUCUUAAGAAACGUGUAAGACUGUAGAAUGUCAAUGAUGCCAAUAUAAAGCAGAAGCCUUUCCCCUUUACUAUUCUGAGCAGGGAUGCCACCCAUAUGGUCAUCGGCCUCCAUGGUGUCGCCCAGCCGAGCCUCUCCCUGGAUGAAUUCCAUGGCUGUGGAAUACAGAGCCUUUUGGGGAGCCAGUCUUUGAGUGUCGAUUGACACUUGAAGAGUGUCGCUGCUUAAGGGCUCUCGUUGUGCAUGAUCUAUAUUGUGGAUUGACAGCCAGAGGCUAUAGUCCAUUAUCUUGAAGCUCUGCAGCACCAAACAGUCACGCUGCAGGGUCUUACAGAGAGCAUUGUACAUGUCAGCAUCCAAAAAAAGACCAUCAGGGAUGUCUUGUAAGAAGUCUAGAUCUUUAAAUGUGGGAAGAGGCUUCUCUCGCUCUUUCUGGGAAGCCCGGCGUUUGUAGGUUGAGCCUUUGAGGUCAUAUUUGAUAUGCAUUUUGACGGAUCUUGGUAAAAGAUUGUUCAUCACCACAAUCCGAAUGUUCUUGCCACCUGUCUGCACACAGUACAGUCCAAAGAAUUUAGGCAGCAAAGUCCGAGGGUUCUGGCUGAGGUUCAAGUAGUAUCCUGGAAGCAGCUUCUGCAGAAACUCCGCCUCUUUAUGUUGGAGUGUCUUAAUAAUGAGUUCAUCGUCGCUGGACACAUAGAACAGGGAACCACUAGCUCCAGAGCUACAGAGUUCAAUCAGCGGCUCACCGCAGAGGGAGCACAAGUAAUCAUCGGGCGGGAUACCAAAUAGCUCCCGAAAGUAGCGGAAGGCAACAGGCGCAUAGGUCUUGAAACGGAAGUCAUUGUAGUGAUGAGCAGGGGUCAGGUUGCUCCCUUCACUGGGGAAGAAGAUACUCUCCACCGCGUAGAAAUCUUGCAUGAGGACAUCACGCUCUGGUUUGGUACUCAGGCUCCCCACAGUAACCCGCGUUCUGCGGGCCACGUCCCC
RNAcentral lists this long non-coding RNA (2528 nucleotides) under Pan troglodytes (chimpanzee). RNAcentral describes it as "long non-coding RNA NONPTRT014979". Lineage: Eukaryota; Metazoa; Chordata; Mammalia; Primates; Hominidae. The record is from RNAcentral.